CUGAACUCCCCCACUCUAUCUCCAGUAAGCUCUGAUUCCCUUCCACGUCUUCUUCCAUGGCGAUUACUUUUCGUUUGUGCGGAUUAUACUUUUGACGGAUCUUGAUGAAGAGGACAAUGAGGCUAUGGAAAUGUCAAUGGUGAAUCUAGGUACAACAAGUGCACCAAGUCCUUCAAAGAGAAGGGCUAAAGGUAUACGAGUAGACUACUCUUCAGAAAUAAUUAGAUUUGAUGCCUCAUUCUAAUUCUACUAAUCGCACGCACGCUUAAAGAUCACUGAACAAUCAUUUCUGAUUUCUUUCAGGUAUGGAUGUCAUGCAUUAAGGAAUUCCGGUCUCCUUAACUGGUUAUUUGUGUCUUCACAAUAGAAUUACAAAGAAUGAUGGGGCCUCUAGAGUGUAAUUGCACGCUCCCAAGAGUUUGAAUCACUUUGUUGAUGAUUCCAUUAGGUGCGUGCACCCUUAUUCCAACAAACAUUUCGAAAUGACACAAAAACAGAAAAAUUAGGGGAAAUGGACAAUUUGAAAGCAUUCAGAUUGAGUAAUUUUGCGCCUCUUUAGGUAAAGCAACAAAAAUUGACAACGUAGAUACUAUUUGAUUGGAAGUUUGACAAUUGCAUGAAUAACAUUUAAAUCAUUACUUUAUGCAAAGUGAAAACGAAAAAUAUGACAACUUUUUAGGACAUGUAUGGUAAAGAAAAAGUUUCUUUUUGCACAAUACAUUUAAAAUAUAUGUAACAUCCCACAUCGCACAGGGGAGUGAUCCUUAAAUGUAUAUUCUCA
Long non-coding RNA from Malus domestica (apple), 781 nucleotides. RefSeq lists it as uncharacterized. The record is from RefSeq and is a predicted model, not a curated record. NCBI's taxonomy places the organism in Eukaryota, Viridiplantae, Streptophyta, Magnoliopsida, Rosales, Rosaceae.